UACGUAGGGGGCAAGCGUUGUCCGGAAUCAUUGGGCGUAAAGAGCGCGUAGGCGGUCCGGUAAGUCCGCUCUGAAAGUCCGGGGCUCAACCCCGGGAGGCGGGCGGAUACUGUCGGGCUAGAGUCCGGAAGAGGCGAGUGGAAUUCCUGGUGUAGCGGUGAAAUGCGCAGAUAUCAGGAGGAACACCGGUGGCGAAGGCGGGUCUCUGGGCCGAUACUGACGCUGAGAAGCGAAAGCGUGGGGAGCGAACAGG
Molecule: ribosomal RNA, 253 nt
Filed under: uncultured bacterium
Lineage: Bacteria
Description: partial 16S ribosomal RNA
Rfam family: Bacterial small subunit ribosomal RNA
Source: RNAcentral